AACCGGAGGAAGGUGGGGAUGACGUCGAAGCAUCAUGCCUUUUACGAUUUGGCCUACACACGUGCUACAAUGGACAAUAAAAAGAGAACCUAAACCGCGAGGUCAUGCAAACCUCAUAAAGUUGUUCUUAGUUCGGAUUGUAGUCUGCUCCUCUACUCCAUGAAGCUGGAAUCGCUAAUAAUCGAUGAUCAUAAUGCCACGGAGAAUAUUUUCCGGGGCCUUGUACCCCCCCCCCGUCACACCGGGAGAGUGUGUUGCACCCGAAGCCGGUGGAGUAACCAUUUAUGGGGCUCUCCGUCGAAGGUGGGACAAAUGAUUGGGGAGAACUCAUAACGGGGUCCCCGUAUCGGAAGGUGGGGCUGGAUCACC
Molecule: ribosomal RNA, 369 nt
Filed under: Staphylococcus saprophyticus
Lineage: Bacteria; Bacillati; Bacillota; Bacilli; Caryophanales; Staphylococcaceae
Description: bacterial SSU rRNA
Rfam family: Bacterial small subunit ribosomal RNA
Source: RNAcentral